Molecule: ribosomal RNA, 411 nt
Filed under: uncultured bacterium
Lineage: Bacteria
Description: bacterial SSU rRNA
Rfam family: Bacterial small subunit ribosomal RNA
Source: RNAcentral
AACGAACGCUGGCGGCGCGCCUAAUACAUGCAGGUCGAGCGAGAAGGUGUAGCAAUACACUUGUAAAGCGGCGAACGGGUGAGGAAUGCAUGGGUAACCUACCCUCGAGUGGGGAAUAACUAGCCGAAAGGUUAGCUAAUACCGCAUACGUUUCCGGAACUUCGGUUUCGGAAAGAAAGCAAUACCGUGGGUAUUGCGCUCCUGGAUGGGCUCAUGUCCUAUCAGCUUGUUGGUGAGGUAACGGCUCACCAAGGCUCCGACGGGUAGCUGGUCUGAGAGGACGAUCAGCCACACUGGCACUGCGACACGGGCCAGACUCCUACGGGAGGCAGCAGUAAGGAAUAUUGCGCAAUGGACGAAAGUCUGACGCAGCGACGCCGCGUGGGGGAGUGAAGGUCUUCGGAUUGUAAA